AACGCAUAUUGCACUCUUUGGUACUCCGAAGAGUAUGCUUGUUUCAGUAUCAUGAAAUCUCUCACAUCCAAACCUUUGUGGUUUAGAAAGUGGAUUUGAGCAUGCAAAACUCGUUGUUUGCUCGCUUGAAAAAGAUUUCUGAUUCUAAACACUGUUUAGAAGUUUGCAUAAUAGUUUUGGCGAAAGCCGAAUCUUUUGCUUCCUUCACUUAUUAGCAGUACUAGACAGAUUUUACGAAAAAGUCAAAUUCGCGUUUGGCUUUCUUUCCAAAAUUUGAUCUGAAAUCAAGUAGGACUACCCGCUGAACUUAA
This 311-nucleotide unclassified non-coding RNA is filed under the name uncultured fungus. RNAcentral's name for it is "sequence contains ITS2". Lineage: Eukaryota; Fungi. The record is from RNAcentral.